Molecule: non-coding RNA, 187 nt
Filed under: Synechococcus sp. PCC 6717
Lineage: Bacteria; Bacillati; Cyanobacteriota; Cyanophyceae; Synechococcales; Synechococcaceae
Also listed under: 1 other name
Description: 6S RNA
Rfam family: 6S / SsrS RNA
About the family: E. coli 6S RNA was the first non coding RNA to be sequenced, but its function was unknown until recently.
Source: RNAcentral
GUCUGGCUGCGGCGUUGGUGACUGCCAAUAUUGUUUUGUGAUCUACAAUUACAAAACAUAUGGGAAUCAUCACCGUGGGUGGCAGUAAACUGACCCUAGAGUUAGAAACUUUUAAGCCUGCGGUUAAAAUUCCCCCCUAGUUUCUACUAGGUCAUAAACUGAGGUAAAACGGCGCUGCGGUUAGGCG